UUUGAGGGGAAUGUUGUCUGGCUCGAGGCCACCAACUAGAUCUAUAAUUCUAUCUCAAUUGAUCAAAAUUUUCUGUGGAUUUUAUUUUUUCGACUAAAGUUGAGAUCAUGAUCAUUGAUCAUAAGUUAGUGACGUCGGACCAGGCUUCAUUCCCCCCAAU
This 160-nucleotide microRNA precursor is filed under the name Theobroma cacao (cacao). RNAcentral's name for it is "pre miRNA mir-166". It matches the Rfam family "mir-166 microRNA precursor family". Rfam says of the family: This family represents the plant microRNA (miRNA) precursor mir-166. The record is from Rfam by way of RNAcentral. Lineage: Eukaryota; Viridiplantae; Streptophyta; Magnoliopsida; Malvales; Malvaceae.